This 793-nucleotide long non-coding RNA is filed under the name Olea europaea subsp. europaea. The record is from RNAcentral. Lineage: Eukaryota; Viridiplantae; Streptophyta; Magnoliopsida; Lamiales; Oleaceae.
CUUUGUUUUCCUUGAUGUAGCACAUCGACAUGGUCAUGGACUUGUUGCGCGAUUGCGAGUUGAGAGAUAUCCACAAUCAUUCUACAAGCUUGGUCGCAUUAUACUGAACACCGAGUUCUUCCGUGCCGUUACCAUUGAGUAUCAGUCCCUCCAACUUCUAGGUAACGAAUACGUGCUUCCCGCCUAUAUGUUCGAGUGGGUCAUCGAGCUGUCACCGAGUGUUGGGGGAAAGCCAUGGGAAGGUUGUACGCAUUUGUACAUUCCAAUUAUCGCGAAUCAGCACUGCAUUGAACUGGAGAUCGUGUUCCCUGAUUUGACGAUAUGUGUACGAUCCCGAUCAUUCAUGUCUGACAAAGGGACAGCUUGAGCAGAUCGUAGAGUCGAUAACUGUGAUCGUUCCUAUGAUGGCUAGACAUGCGAGCUUGACUGUGGAUGACAGACUAGCCAUCGUGCGGGACACGACAACGAUGAGACAUUGUAUAUCGUAAGUCUUUGUAAUUUUUUUUUUUGAUUUAGUAAUCAGUUCGUACGUAAUUGGAAUCGAACUAACACAUAUUUGUUCAUUUGCAGGGGUGACUGUGGGAUUUUCGCAAUCAAAUAUAUAGAAUUUUUGAGUAUAGCACAUAAGGUUGAUGGAAUCAACCAGUCAUGAAUACAGAAUUGGCGAAAUAAGUUAGCGUGUGAUUUAUACGAAUUUAAUUAUGAUCCAUAAAUUAUUUGUAAAUAUUUUUUGUACUUCAAUAUUUGUAAUUAUUUUUUGUGAUUAUUCAUGUAAAUAUUGUUUAUUUCAAUG